CACGAGAGGGACAAGUGUUGUUCGUCUUGACUGGGCGUAAAGGGCACGUAGACAAUCAAUCUAACGGGUAAGGUAAAUGCUGUGUAUGAAGUACAUAGAACACCUUAUCACGAACAUUUUUUGAUUAGAGUUAUUACUCGGGAUCAUAUAAAAUUUUUAUUUGGGCUAGAAAUCCUAAAAACAAAAGUGCCGCUAUCGGUGAAAGGCGUUGAUCUG
Molecule: ribosomal RNA, 216 nt
Filed under: uncultured bacterium
Lineage: Bacteria
Description: partial 16S ribosomal RNA
Source: RNAcentral